This 292-nucleotide ribosomal RNA is filed under the name uncultured eukaryote. RNAcentral describes it as "partial 18S ribosomal RNA". It matches the Rfam family "Eukaryotic small subunit ribosomal RNA", at positions 6 to 259 of the family's 1831-position model. The record is from RNAcentral.
GGUUGAUCCUGCCAGUAGUCAUAUGCUUGUGUUAAAGAUUAAGCCAUGCAUGCCUUAGUAUAGGUAGAAACGACCGAAACUGCGGAUGGCUCAUUAAAUCAGUCACAAUCAAUUUGGUGAUGAAAGUAGAAGGAUAACCCUGUUAAUUGUAGAGCUAAUACAUGAAUAAGAUGUUUGAUCUUGAUACAUUGAAGAAUCAACCCUUUGGUGUAAAGAGAAAGAACAGCUAAUGUCAGCUCGGCCAUAUGCAAAUGUGGUGACGUAGUUUUGAAAGCGAAUUCUCGGAAGCCAA